AGCAGCCGCGGUAAUUCCAGCUCCAAUAGCGUAUAUUAAAGUUGUUGCAGUUAAAAAGCUCGUAGUUGAAUUUCGGGAUUGACGUGAUGGUCAUGCCUUAAGGGGUAUGAACUGUUACUGUUGAUUUCUCACCUUCUGGAGAAACUUGAUGUCCUUUAUUGGGUGUCUUGCGGAUCCAGGACCUUUACCUUGAAAAAUUAGAGUGUUUAAAGCAGGCAUUUUUGCUCGAAUACAUUAGCAUGGAAUAAUAGAAUAGGACGGUAUGGUUCUAUUUUGUUGGUUUCUAGGACCACCGUAAUGAUUAAUAGGGAUAGUUGGGGGCAUUAGUAUUCAAUUGUCAGAGGUGAAAUUCUUGGAUUUAUUGAAGACUAACUACUGCGAAAGCAUUUGCCAAGGAUGUUUUCAUUAAUCAAGAACGAAAGUUAGGGGAUCGGAGACGAUCAGAUACCGUCGUAGUCUUAACCAUAAACUNUGCCGACUAGGAUCAGGCGAUGUUAAUUUUUAAUGACUCGUUUGCACC
RNAcentral lists this ribosomal RNA (520 nucleotides) under uncultured Entrophospora. Its description in RNAcentral is "SSU rRNA". It matches the Rfam family "Eukaryotic small subunit ribosomal RNA", at positions 569 to 1087 of the family's 1831-position model. The record is from RNAcentral. Lineage: Eukaryota; Fungi; Glomeromycota; Glomeromycetes; Entrophosporales; Entrophosporaceae.